CCAUCGUCAAACUACACCAUCUCUACCUUUAUAAUAAUACACAUUCAAUCUUUAAAUUUAUAUAAUUAUCAAUGGUACCUGCCUCUCAAACAACAUCAAGAACACAUAAAAUCAACAAAGCCCAAAUAGCUAUUGGUUGUAAGAAUCAAUGGAGGAUGAGAUUAGCAAGUUCUUGAAGGUAUGGCUCACAGUAUUUGCAUCUUUAUUCUAUUGCUAUGCAAUUGGCAAGCAAUUCCCACAAGGAAAAACAAGAUUUCUUUUAUUACUCCCAAUUGUGUGUCUCUUUCUGUACCUUCCUCUACAUCUCUCCACUAUCCAUCUUGGUGGGAUGACAGCAUUUUUCAUAGCUUGGCUUGCCAAUUUUAAGCUCUUGCUCUUUGCUUUUGGUAAGGGUCCUUUAUCAUCUCAAAAUGCAUCAAUCUCGCUACCUAGUUUUCUUACUUUUGCUUGUUUACCCAUCAAAAUUCAAGAAAACCCACCUCCCAAAAAACAAAAUAAUCAAAAUCCAUCUUCUAAAAUGUCUAGAAAGGCUGAGAAAUCUCCUCUAAAUUAUGCAAUAAAAGGCAUUCUUUUAGCUAUUUUCGUACGUGUCUAUGAUUACAGCGAUCAUAUCCAUCCAAAUAUCAUAUUAUUUCUCUAUGGUCUCCACAUGUACUUCUUUCUUGAGAUUGUCCUAGCCAUGCUUGCAUACCUGGUUCGAACCAUUUUAGGAUUUCAGCUCGAGCCACCCUUCAAUGAUCCAUAUCUCUCUUCUUCAUUACAAGACUUCUGGGGUAGAAGAUGGAAUCGAAUUACCAAUGGCAUCUUACGCCCAACUGUGUAUGAGCCUACACUCAACAUCAGUACACAUGUCAUGGGUAGAGAGUGGGCCCCAAUCCCAGCUAUUUUGGCCACUUUUUUUGUCUCAGCCAUCAUGCACGAACUCAUAUUUUAUUAUAUUGGGGGCGUGAGACCCACGUGGCAGGUGACAUGGUUUUUUAUUUUUCAUGGGUUUUGUUUGGUGAUUGAAAUUGUAUUAAAGAAGGCAAUUAAAGGCAGGUGGCAGUUGCCUGAUCUAAUCUCGGGGAUUUUAGUGGUUGGUUUUGUAGUGGUGACUGGCUAUUGGCUUUUCUUUCCGCAAUUCCUCCAUCAAUGCAAGGCAGAUGUUAGAGCGCUGGAAGAAUACGCAGCACUAGGCGCGUUUGUAAAGAAUUCCUUUUGGACAUUUUUUUGGCCCAAGAGUGCCAAGUGGGUUGAUUAGAUCAUUGUCAUAUUCUCAUACUAGGCUUUAUGUCCUGAACGCGAUGCUCUUAGUAUUAUUUUUUCUUAUAUUUCUUAUAUUUAUUAUGUAAAUAGGAUAAAUAAUUAUAAAUUCA
Molecule: unclassified non-coding RNA, 1355 nt
Filed under: Hevea brasiliensis (rubber tree)
Lineage: Eukaryota; Viridiplantae; Streptophyta; Magnoliopsida; Malpighiales; Euphorbiaceae
Source: RNAcentral